This 460-nucleotide ribosomal RNA is filed under the name uncultured bacterium. RNAcentral describes it as "partial 16S ribosomal RNA". It matches the Rfam family "Bacterial small subunit ribosomal RNA", at positions 338 to 795 of the family's 1533-position model. The record is from RNAcentral.
CCUACGGGAGGCAGCAGUGAGGAAUAUUGGUCAAUGGCCGGAAGGCUGAACCAGCCAUGCCGCGUGAAGGUCAGUGCCCUAUGGGCGUUUAACCUCUUUUGUGCGGGAGCAAUAAUGGUCACGUGUGGCCAGACGAGAGUACCGUACGAAUAAGCAUCGGCUAACUCCGUGCCAGCAGCCGCGGUAAUACGGGGGAUGCAAGCGUUAUCCGGAUUUAUUGGGUUUAAAGGGUGCGUAGGCUGUGAGGUAUGUCAGCGGGGAAAUGCCCCCGCGCAACGGGGUGAAGUGCCAUUGAUACUGCCUUGCUGGAAUGCGGAUGCCGUGGGAGGAAUGUGUGGUGUAGCGGUGAAAUGCAUAGAUAUCACACAGAACACCGAUUGCGAAGGCAUCUCACGAAUCCGCGAUUGACGCUGAUGCACGAAAGCGUGGGUAUCAAACAGGAUUAGAUACCCUUGUAGUC